Molecule: microRNA precursor, 144 nt
Filed under: Oryza rufipogon (brownbeard rice)
Lineage: Eukaryota; Viridiplantae; Streptophyta; Magnoliopsida; Poales; Poaceae
Description: MIR812 microRNA precursor family
Rfam family: MIR812 microRNA precursor family
Source: Rfam by way of RNAcentral
UUUAAGUGCAGUUGUGUGUUUUUUUUUCUAGCGUUUGACCGUUCGUCUUAUUUGAAAAAAUUAUCAAAAUUUUUUUAAAAAAUAAGUCACGCAUAAAACACUAGGGUCAAACGUUGGACACAGAAAUCAACAUCUGCACUUAAA